CUUCCACCGUCAUAUCACUGGAGCAGCACCUCAUAAAGCAAACAGACAAACACUGCUGAACAGAGCUCUGAUAGAAGUCCCUCCUGACAACUUCACUCUUCAGGAAUUGGACUUGAUCCUUAUGGGUUCCAUCCAACUUGGGAUACUCUAUGAUUCACAGGAGGUCAAACUGAAAGAAAUGGUGUCUUGAAGCUACUUCAGUGCUGGGGCUGCUGGUAGAGCCUUGUCCCAAAAAGAGGACAGAAUGAUCUUUACAGGAAAGGGAAGAGUGAAACAAGUGCCUCUGCUCGACGUGGGAUUGCUGCCAACUAUGACAUCUCCCCUAGGAUCAACAACACAGAGACCAGGAAUAACCAACAGCUGGACUCAUUCAGGCCUUCCUUUCAGGAAAGAAAUUACACUGUGAUUAAUGAGCAAAGCAGAGGGCAGAAAGCGAGGCGUUGGGGGUGCUCCAGGGAAAGGCUGGGCUCCCAUGCCUGUCCCUAUGGCCAUUCCCCACCCAUGUUGGAGGUCCUCCAAAGUCGAGGUUGUUCCCCAUUGCUGUGGUGGUGGCACUGGGGACAGAGGAGGAACAGGGGUGUGGAUGGACACAGAUCCCCUCUCAGUGCAGGGGUCCCUGGGCAGGGAGCUAAAGCUCAGUGCCUACAGUGGUGUAGGGCAGGCAGUGCAGGCAAGAGCCCAUUUUCGCUGCAGAGCUGUAAUAAUGUGUUCCAGGGCUGUUUUCAUGUGGAACAAUCCUCUCUGAGCUAUAAUUACACUCAGUCGCCCCAGAAAAUCAGCAGAAACUCUAAUCCUUUCAGCUGUGUGAGUACAAUGCAAGCAGGCACGUGGCCAGUACACACUGCUGCUGCCAAUCCUGCUAGCCCACCACACUGACAGCACCAAGCCCCCAACCAUCUCCUUCUUUUUGGAGACCUCAGCAUGCACCCAUGCAAUCAUAGAAUCAUUGAAUCAUAGAGUCAUAGAAUCAAUAAGACUGGAAAAGACCUCUAAGAUCAUCUAGUCCAAUCCAUCACCACAAUGGCCACUAAACCAUGUCCCUCAGUGUCACACCUACAUGUUUCUUGAAAACCGAGGUCCCAUCAUUACAUACCAAGAGCACAACCAGGGUGAGGGGAGAUGGUGUUGGGCUGCGAUUGCCUGCAGGAGGCCCUGCAGGUUGGGGCCUGCAUGUAGCUGCAGCAUCCUGGAGCAGCGUGAGGCUUCCCCCAGUCACCAGAGAACCCCAGGUGGGGUGGGCAGGGCAAGAAGACCUUGCUGGCCCCAUGCCAGGGAGCAGGGCACUUGCUGAGGUGUCCCAAUAUCUCAUUUGUUCAUUUGCCACACCCGUGGGUGAGGAAAACGGUAUUGUUCCUGGUUAUUCUGAGAUCGAUGCUAACCAGCAUGGCGUGAGGGGCAGACAAAAGCAAUGAUGCACAAAGGAAAAAAAUUACCCAGGACUCAAUUCAGAAGGAUAGGGGUGGAGACCCCUCUGCUUUACCUGCUCGUGCUGGGACAAAACUGCAGAUGCCACCUUGAUGCUCAGUGAGAAGGUGCUGGGGCUGCCAUCUUUCUUACAGCUCCAGGGCACCCCGCAAACACCACUUGCCUUCCUGGUGGAUCUGCAUAGCUUCAGAAUCCACCUGCCCCUGGACAUCCUCUCAGAGGGCAGAAUUUACCCAUUUUCCCAGGAGCUACUUAAUGGGAGGAGAUUGCAGCUUAUGGUUGAG
Molecule: long non-coding RNA, 1709 nt
Organism: Gallus gallus (chicken)
Lineage: Eukaryota; Metazoa; Chordata; Aves; Galliformes; Phasianidae
Source: Ensembl